CGGCUUUUCCCCUCUGCCCACAGCCUGCUCUUCUGCCCCGGGGCGGCCCCAAGGAACUCUUGUUAGAGGAGAACCAGGCACUGGUGUGGGCUGGUUCCUUCCCCUCCCCGUUAAACGUUUACACCCAUUUCCAGCUCCCAGGUUGGACUGCAGCCCCCUUGCUUACCAGGCUCGUCCUGUGGGCCUGGGUCACCCCUUCGCCUGCUGGGCGGCUCUGUGGCUCGCGCUUCCCCUGAGGGGGGCAGGACCCAGGAGUCCUAGCCUGGGGCGCUCUCCCUUGGCCAGCACGCGGCGGGGGGGGGGGGUCAUUUCCGCUAACAAGGCUGUUAAUGAGCAUGUGCGUCCGCCCAAGGGCAGCGUGGCCCGUUUGCUGCAACCUGCAGGAUCUGGCUGCUCAACUCGGCUUUAGGGUCCCAGCAUCAGCUGUGAAGCCCCCGGCUCUGACUCAGUCUCCCCCCUUCCUGGGGUCCUUCGGGGACCUGGCACCCCCUCCUCCCCUGGCCUUGUCUGCUGAUGGCCGUGAAGUGCCCCCUGGGGCCCCUCAGUCCUCCACCGGCUACGUUGCACCCUCACCGUGCUCAUGGCCGGUGCAAGGAUGUCUUGCGCCCUAGGUGGAACUUCCACCUUGCGCCCUCCCCCCCACGCCCCCACCCUGAGGUGCCCCCCCUGCCCUGAGGUGCCCCCCCGUGGCAGCUCCCCCCUUCUACCCUGAGGCACCCCCCCUCCCACCCCAGCUCACCCCUGGCCCGCCUCCUCCCCGAGCCGUGGCGGCUUCACUCCUCCCACCUCCCAGGCUUGCACGCUGUGACGAACUGGGAAUGUUCUUGAUGUUUGCUCUGAAUACUGUGUUGGUGCCUCAGUGUCCCCAUGGCAGUUCUUAAGUAUCUGGCAGAGCAAAGGGCCAGUGCACCUAAAUGCCUGACACUCUGUCUCCUAGCAACUGAUGGCCUGGGCCCCUCUGCAAAGGUGCCAGCUGAAGGUGUUGGAGACAAAGGGAUCAGGUGACCUCCUGGCCCAGGAAAGGGGCUGAGCAGAGAGGAGGGGCUGGGAGGGGUUGUUAGUCUGGAGCUGGCUGGGGUCAAGGGUGGAGGGCAGACGUGGGGGGUCUGGCUCACUGCCCCCCAGAAUGGACCGGCCGAGGGGUCCGGUUCGCUGUAUCUACAAGCUCUGUUUUAGACCCUGUUCCUGUCAUCGAAUAAACCUCUGUUUUACUGGCUGGCUGAGAGUCACGUCUGACUGCAAAUGGGGGUGCAGGACCCUGUGGCCCCCCCAGGACCCCGCUGGGGCGACUCGCUGUGGGAAGCGCACGGAGGGGCAGAGGAUGCUGAAUGCUCCAAGGAGAGACCCAGGAGGUGAAGCCGUGUGAGCUGCUUGCCCUGCAGACAGUCUGCUCCAAGGGAGAGGAGGCUCCCCAAAGUCCUGCCUGGCUUGGUGGGGAGCAGUUCCAGAGCAUCGCCCGGUGACUCCGU
Molecule: long non-coding RNA, 1469 nt
Organism: Gopherus flavomarginatus (Mexican gopher tortoise)
Lineage: Eukaryota; Metazoa; Chordata; Testudines; Testudinidae
Exons: 3
Source: RefSeq, a predicted model, not a curated record